Molecule: small RNA, 4154 nt
Filed under: Pan troglodytes (chimpanzee)
Lineage: Eukaryota; Metazoa; Chordata; Mammalia; Primates; Hominidae
Description: retained intron
Source: RNAcentral
CUGCGAGCCCGCGAGCCAGCGAGCUGCGGCUGCGGCCUCCCCUGCGCGCAGCUACCCGGGCGUCCCGGCCCGCGGCCCCGCUAACCCCGGGGCCCGCGCCCCCGCGGCAGGGAUGCAUCAUGGCCACGCUGGCUUGCCGGGUGCAGUUCUUGGACGACACGGACCCUUUCAACAGCACCAACUUCCCCGAGCCCAGCCGGCCGCCGCUGUUCACGUUCCGCGAGGACCUCGCGCUCGGCACCCAGCUGGCGGGGGUUCAUAGGCUGCUGCGGGCGCCGCACAAGCUGGAUGACUGUACUCUGCAGCUCUCUCACAAUGGCGCCUACCUGGAUUUGGAGGCCACCCUGGCAGAGCAGCGGGAUGAGUUGGAAGGCUUCCAGGAUGACGCCGGGCGGGGCAAGAAGCACAGCAUCAUCCUAAGGACGCAGCUGUCUGUGAGGGUCCAUGCCUGCAUCGAAAAACUAUACAACUCCAGCGGACGAGAUUUGAGAAGGGCCCUUUUCUCCCUGAAGCAGAUAUUUCAGGAUGACAAGGAUUUGGUGCAUGAAUUUGUAGUGGCUGAAGGUCUGACAUGUUUGAUCAAGGUGGGAGCUGAGGCUGAUCAGAACUAUCAGAACUACAUCUUAAGGGCUUUGGGCCAGAUUAUGUUGUAUGUGGAUGGAAUGAAUGGAGUAAUAAACCACAAUGAAACCAUUCAGUGGCUGUACACUCUCAUUGGGUCAAAGUUCCGCCUGGUGGUGAAGACAGCCCUGAAGCUGCUGCUCGUCUUUGUAGAGUACUCGGAGUCCAACGCACCUCUCCUAAUUCAGGCUGUCACUGCUGUUGACACGAAAAGAGGGGUCAAGCCUUGGUCAAAUAUCAUGGAAAUCCUGGAGGAAAAAGAUGGAGUUGAUACGGAGCUACUGGUUUAUGCAAUGACUUUGGUGAACAAGACGUUAUCAGGACUACCAGACCAAGACACCUUCUACGACGUCGUGGACUGCCUGGAGGAGCUGGGCAUCGCUGCUGUGUCCCAGAGGCACUUGAACAAGAAAGGGACUGACCUGGACUUAGUGGAGCAACUCAACAUUUAUGAGGUGGCGCUCAGGCACGAGGAUGGCGAUGAGACCACGGAGCCACCCCCCAGUGGGUGCCGGGACCGGAGGAGGGCCAGCGUGUGUUCCAGUGGAGGGGGCGAGCACCGGGGCCUGGACCGCAGAAGGAGCCGCAGGCACUCGGUGCAGAGCAUCAAGAGCACCCUGUCGGCCCCCACCAGUCCCUGCUCCCAGUCAGCUCCCAGCUUCAAGCCCAACCAAGUGCGAGAUCUGCGUGAAAAAUACAGCAAUUUUGGCAAUAACUCUUAUCACUCCUCAAGACCCUCAUCUGGAUCCAGUGUGCCCACCACCCCCACAUCAUCCGUGUCACCCCCACAGGAGGCCAGGUUGGAAAGGUCAUCACCGAGUGGUCUUCUCACAUCAUCCUUCAGGCAGCACCAAGAGUCACUGGCAGCAGAGAGAGAGAGGCGGCGGCAGGAGAGAGAAGAAAGGUUGCAGAGAAUAGAGCGGGAAGAAAGAAACAAAUUCAGAUACAAAUACUUGGAACAGUUGGCAGCUGAGGAGCACGAGAAGGAGCUGAGAAGCCGGAGUGUGAGCCGGGGCAGAGCCGACCUCUCCUUGGACCUGACCUCGCCAGCAGCCCCAGCCUACCUGGCUCCUCUGAGCCAUAGCCCCUCGUCUUCAGACUCUCAAGAGGCUCUCACGGUGUCUGCCUCCUCCCCAGGAACCCCUCACCAUCCCCAAGCAAGUGCCGGGGAUCCUGAACCCGAAUCAGAGGCAGAACCGGAAGCAGAGGCAGGGGCGGGGCAGGUUGCUGAUGAAGCUGGCCAGGACAUAGCCUCUGCCCACGAGGGUGCAGAGACUGAAGUGGAGCGGGCACUAGAGCAAGAGCCGGAAGAAAGAGCCUCCCUCAGUGAAAAAGAGAGGCAGAACGAGGGGGUGAACGAGAGGGACAACUGCUCCGCCUCCAGCGUCUCGUCCUCCAGCAGCACGUUGGAGAGGGAGGAGAAGGAGGACAAGCUUUCCAGGGACAGGACAACUGGUAAAUGAAGCCCCUUGUUUCAGUCGGCAUGUGCCAGAGAGGCCUGGGGUGCAGGGGCUGGUUCUCUACGAGCUUGUCCACAGGCUGGCCUCUGAGGUGACCUGGGUCAACCCACUCAUGUGGCUGUGUCACCCAGUGUCUGGGGACAAGGAGUGUGGCCACGCUGGCAGCCAGCCAGCAGCCUUCUGCCCUGUAGAAAGACAGCCCCCAAACUGUCUGCCACACCAUCACAUUCAUCACCUCCACACCUGGGGAAAAGGGCCCCGAUAAGGAGGGCUUUUCCUGAGGAAUAAGCCCCAGAAGAGAAACCUCUCACUUCCCCCUGACUGUUCCAUUGUGAAUAAUAGUAAGGUUGAUAAUAGUAAGGCUUUUUCCGUUUUUGAUAUAAGUUUAGAAACUGUCACAUUGUCAUCUAUUCCUUUAAAAAUGUGUUUACUGAAGUGUGUUAAUCAUUUUGACUGGACAUUUCAGACUGGGAAAGAUUUGUUUAAAUGGAUUGAAUGAGUAUUUCCAAAAAAUUGUACACAGUUUACUGAGGUCAAUUUGAUGUACUGGAAUAUAGAUAAUUUGUUUUCUACAUUACACUCAUAACUAUUCUUUUCUUUGUAUAAAGUAUAUGCUUUUCCUUAUGGAAGUAUAUCUUUUUGAUGUUACACUUAAUACUCAUUCAGUUCUCCUGUGAAUGGUAACUUUAGAAUUAGGGACCAAAUGGAAUGUUAGAUUAUAGGUUUGGUUUAGCCUGAAAGAACCUCACCAAGGACUUGAGAAGGGUGCCACAGAGGGUUAUAGGAAUCGUGAAUAAUUCAUAUGAUCUGUGACACCACAGGGUUACUUUUCCUACCCAUGACUUGUGUGCUAUCAAGGUGGUAGAAUGCCUCCUUCCUCAACAAACACUCCUAACCAGUGGAGUCAUGUCUUAUGGGCCAGCCUUUGUUAAGCUACAUAUGAGUGGCACCCACUCGAGUCGAUGUCUUAGGCCCAAAGGGCAAUAUGACACCCCUACAAAGGCCUGCCAACCAGUGCCAUGACCCAUGAAUGGCUUAUUCAUUCCUAGAUUAAAAAUACAUUGUCUCAGAAGCAUGGAUGAACGAAUGAAUGAAACCAGAAUGUCUUCCAAUAGACCUGUCAGUCAAUGGCGUAGUCUAAAAUAGUUACUAUUUGGAUUUUUUCCCAGUUAGAAUAUACUACUAGAUUUUAUGCUUUAUAUUGCUGGUCACUAUGAUGCAGUAAAAAAAAGAAGAUAAAAGACUUUAUUAGUUUACAUCUUAGGAAUUAUUGCAUUGAAAAUCCAGUGUCUUCAUUUGGUUGAAUAUGUAUGUGCCAAGAGGUAUUAUAUAUACUGAUAUUUACUUAAUUUCUUUCAAAGUCAGAUUACAGUUAGUCCCCCAAAUUCUUCUUAUCAUUCAUAUUAAUGUAAUUAUUGUCAUAAUACUGGGUGUAGGGUAAGUCUUAUUGAUCAGAUUGGUCUUAAAUCAUGUUUUAUUUAUUAGGAAUAGCUUUAAGAAUUAUUAAUCAUAACUGGGUUUAGCAGGCCUAAAACAUAUCAAGAAAUUGGAUUAGUAAAAAUAUACCAGGCGACAGGGCUUUCUUGGAUCAGAUUGUCCAAUAUUCUUCCAAAGAAGGACAAUUUUCCAAAAAUGGAAACCGUUCCCAGUGAAGAACCACUGACUUUCUACCAAAGUGGGCAAUGUCCAAGUAUUUAGAAGCAGAAAUUAGGGCUUUGCAAUGAUUUUUCUGCUUUGCUUCAGUGCUGUUAUGAGAGUUGGUCAUGUUUAUUUACUGUAGCUUAUUGGUUCCUAAAAAAUCUCACUGCUCACAGGCAUCAUCAGCCACUGUGGAGUCAGGGCAGCUAUGUCAUUAUAGCCCUUGCUUUUCAGAGUGCUGUCAAAUCACAGAGCAACCUUAGAGAUAAAAAAUUAUUCUCAAACAUAUUUCUAAUGAUUAUGUCAAAAAUGAAUUUGUAGGACUUGAAAAAGUCUCAUUCCAGUUAUGUGGUUUAAUUUUUCUUUGUUUAAUGUGUUCUACUUUAGGGCAUGCAUGUGAGAAGCUUUAUCAUAACAUACAUUUUACUUUUUUAU